UUCAUGAUAUGAUGGUGUAAAAUAGGGAACACUUGAAUGUGAACAUAUGAACUAUUGAAAUAAGUGUGAUGAUGAAUGUGAUUCAAAAAUAAAAUAAAUACAACUGUGCUGAUUUGUGACCAUUGAUGUCUUAGGUGGUGCGGUCGGGAUUGGACCAUCAUCAAGACAGGAACGACCCACAGGUGGAGCAGGGACGUCACACCAACGAGAUGUCUAGGAUACCCAAUACACGGGAACCUACUUUUGCAAGGAAUUAAGUAGAUGCAUUCUAAAUCACAAUGUAUUUUGUAGGGAUCAAUGUACUGAAUGUAUAACUUUUAUUAGAUCCUUUUUGUUUAAAAAUUGUGAUGGCUAUUAGAAGUAUAAGAGUGCAAACUCAUGUCCAUGUAUAUAUAUUUUUAAUAUGAACUUCAAAUCAUGCAACCUUAAUAUUAUGUGUUUGUGUAAGAUUCGCU
Long non-coding RNA from Populus trichocarpa (black cottonwood), 455 nucleotides. RefSeq lists it as uncharacterized. Lineage: Eukaryota; Viridiplantae; Streptophyta; Magnoliopsida; Malpighiales; Salicaceae. The transcript has 2 exons. The record is from RefSeq and is a predicted model, not a curated record.